UACGAAGGGGGCUAGCGUUGCUCGGAUUGACUGGGCGUAAAGGGCGCGUAGGCGGUUCGUACAGUCAGACGUGAAAUUCCUGGGCUCAACCUGGGGGCUGCGUUUGAUACGUGCGGACUUGAGUGCGGAAGAGGGUCGUGGAAUUCCCAGUGUAGAGGUGAAAUUCGUAGAUAUUGGGAAGAACACCGAUGGCGAAGGCGGCGACCUGGUCCGAUACUGACGCUGAGGCGCGAAAGCGUGGGGAGCAAACAGG
RNAcentral lists this ribosomal RNA (253 nucleotides) under uncultured bacterium. RNAcentral's name for it is "partial 16S ribosomal RNA". It matches the Rfam family "Bacterial small subunit ribosomal RNA", at positions 524 to 776 of the family's 1533-position model. The record is from RNAcentral.